GGCGGCGGAGCUCCGCCGGCCACAGCGCUUAGAGAUCCCGCCCCCGUCCGUCCGCUGGCCUUUCGGGGCGUAGGGUGGGCGCGGCUUGACGACCUCGGGUUCGAGCCACCAAUGCCUGAGGCCUGACGAGCCGAGCUGGGAGAAAGACUGCGCCUGGACUUAGCUGAUCUUCUGUUUAAGUAAAACAUUCAGCAUCCCCUGUUGCUGUCUCUGUCACCUGUUGUAACCUGCCCUUUUUGUCUUUCAGCUAGGUCGCUGUCAACCUGAUAUUUCUCUCCACUUUGUCUUUGUCGGGGUAUCUGGAUCCUGUUUUAUAUCUGUCUCCACCUUGCUUCUGUGUCUGUUCACCCUGUCUCUGCCACUCAGCCCUUACUCUAAUUCAGGGCCUGUCAGUCUGGCUUUUUGGCCAUCUGUCUGUUUC
RNAcentral lists this long non-coding RNA (421 nucleotides) under Homo sapiens (human). RNAcentral's name for it is "HSALNT0155467". Lineage: Eukaryota; Metazoa; Chordata; Mammalia; Primates; Hominidae. The record is from RNAcentral.